GGCUCUUUGUCCUAUAAAAAUAAAGGGUCGAGCCUGCCCGGUGACAUAAGAUGUUAAACGGCCGCAGUAUACUGACUGUGCGAAGGUAGCAUAAUAAUUUGCCUAUUAAUUGUGGGAUGGAAUGAAUGGUUUGACGAGGGCUGAACUGUCUCUUUGUGAUAUAUUUAAAAAUUAUUUUUUAGGUGAAGAUUCCUAAAUAUAACUAAGGGACGAUAAGACCCUGUCGAGCUUUAGUGUAAUUUUGGGUUCAAUUGUUCAAAAUUGAAAACAAUUUUAUUUCUAAAAUAAAUCUUUGACUGGGGCGGUCGAGAAGGAUGAAAAACCUUUUGUUUAAAUUACUGACUUUUAGGUAUAAGAUCUAGCUUAAUGUGAGACGUAAGAAAAAGUUACCGCAGGGAUAACAGCGUAAUUCUUUUGGAGAGUUCUUAUUGAGAAAGGAGUUUGCGACCUCGAUGUUGGACUAAGAUAUCCUAAAGGUGUAGAAGCUUUUGAGGGUUAGUCUGUU
RNAcentral lists this ribosomal RNA (505 nucleotides) under Montfortula punctata. RNAcentral's name for it is "partial large subunit ribosomal RNA". It matches the Rfam family "Bacterial large subunit ribosomal RNA", at positions 1816 to 2581 of the family's 2925-position model. The record is from RNAcentral. Lineage: Eukaryota; Metazoa; Mollusca; Gastropoda; Lepetellida; Fissurellidae.